UACGUAGGGGGCGAGCGUUGUCCGGAUUUAUUGGGCGUAAAGAGCUCGUAGGCGGCUGGGCAAGUCGGGUGUGAAAACUCCAGGCUCAACUUGGAGACGCCACUUGAUACUGCCCUGGCUUGAGUCCGGUAGGGGAGCGCGGAAUUCCUGGUGUAGCGGUGAAAUGCGCAGAGAUCAGGAGGAACACCGGUGGCGAAGGCGGCGCUCUGGGCCGGCACUGACGCUGAGGAGCGAAAGCGUGGGGAGCGAACAGGAUUAGAUACCCCCGUAGUCC
This 274-nucleotide ribosomal RNA is filed under the name uncultured bacterium. RNAcentral's name for it is "partial 16S ribosomal RNA". It matches the Rfam family "Bacterial small subunit ribosomal RNA", at positions 524 to 796 of the family's 1533-position model. The record is from RNAcentral.